CAGAGAGUGUGGGUGCUAGAGCCUUCUGCAGGGCUCAGGACACAUUCCCCAACACACCCAGGGCCAAUAAUUUGCACUGGGAUACAGAGAGGAGGCUCGGGGCCUCUGUCAACAGAUUGCCAUCCACUUAGAUGAGUAAAUGGUGCUGGCCCCGUGGUGUGGUGACAUCUGUCUGUCUGUCUGGUCUAGCAUCCAGCACAGUCCUGGGCACAUGAAUUGGUGCUGAUGCUGCUGAAGGAGUGAAUGCAGGCCAGAAGGAAGGAGUGCUGGGGAAGAAGUGAGCCAUGGAGCAGGCAGGAACCACGGACAGAGGCCUCCCAGUUCACUCGGGGACAUAUCCGCAGAUGUGAGAACUCAGAGAGAUGUUCAAGUUUCCUAAGAGGGCUUCAAUCAUGGCUCACAGACUACUAAUUUCCAGUUUCUUCUCUACCAGUCUGGAUGCCCAUGGUGAACUUUAGAGAUAUCCAUCAGCUCCAUCAAUUCCCUCAACUACAUCUACCUAGCUUUUGAGCCCAGAAGAACCCAAUCAUGUGUGUUCUCCUCAGCUCCCAGGCUGCUGAGCAAUGCUGGAGAAAAAUCACAAAACUAUACAGUUUGGUAUCUCUCCAGAAUUAUGGUUUCCAGCUUGAGUUGGAAAUUCAGAAUUACUUCAAAAUGUUUAAAUUUGUUUCUGGUCAGUUUCCUCCUUCAUUUCCCAGUUUCAUUUAUCACUCUAUUUAACUUGUUACCCAUCGCUGUCUGCUAUUAACCUUGCCUCCUUUUACACGAGAAAACAGAGGCCAUCAAAUGGCAUUUCCCAUCACUCCAUCACUCCACCUCUGUCAAUGAAUCCACCAGUAACAUCUCAGAGAUCCUUCUGUCUAGCACUGAUGAUCUUAUUGUAUCAGUUACUCCUUCUUCCUUUUGUAUUUUCAAUGCUCC
Molecule: long non-coding RNA, 921 nt
Filed under: Homo sapiens (human)
Lineage: Eukaryota; Metazoa; Chordata; Mammalia; Primates; Hominidae
Description: non-protein coding lnc-MAGEA1-1:2
Source: RNAcentral